This 1450-nucleotide ribosomal RNA is filed under the name uncultured bacterium. RNAcentral's name for it is "bacterial SSU rRNA". It matches the Rfam family "Bacterial small subunit ribosomal RNA". The record is from RNAcentral.
GUUUGAUCCUGGCUCAGGACGAACGCUGGCGGCGUGCCUAAUACAUGCAAGUCGAACGGCGAUUGUAGCAAUACGGUCUUAGUGGCGAACGGGUGAGUAACGCGUUGGUAACCUGCCCCGAAGCGUGGGAUAACGGCCCGAAAGGACCACUAAUACCACAUGUGAUCCCGAGGAAUAGAUACUUGGGAUGAAAGGAGCAAUUCGCUUCGGGAGGGACCUGCGUCCCAUCAGCUAGUUGGUAGGGUAACGGCCUACCAAGGCGAUGACGGGUAGGGGACCUGAGAGGGUGGCCCCCCACAAUGGAACUGAAACACGGCCCAUACACCUACGGGUGGCAGCAGUAGGGAAUAUUGGUUAAUGUGCGAAAGCGCGAACCAGCAACGCCGCGUGUGCGAUGAAGGCCUUCGGGUCGUAAAGCACUUUUUGCAGGGAAGAGGAAGGACGGUACCUGCAGAAUAAGUCUCGGCUAACUACGUGCCAGCAGCCGCGGUAAAACGUAGGAGACGAGCGUUAUCCGGAUUUACUGGGCGUAAAGCGCGUGUAGGCGGUUCGGUAAGUUGGAUGUGAAAGCUCCUGGCUUAACUGGGAGAGGUCGUUCAAUACUGCCGAGCUAGAGGAUGGUAGAGGGAGGUGGAAUUCCGAGUGUAGUGGUGAAAUGCGUAGAUAUUCGGAGGAACACCAGUGGCGAAAGCGGCCUCCUGGACCAUUUCUGACGCUCAGACGCGAAAGCUAGGGUAGCAGACGGGAUUAGAGACCCCGGUAGUCUUAGCUGUAAACGAUGUGGACUUGGCGUCGGCGGGUUUAAAUCCGUCGGUGUCGAAGCUAACGCGAUAAGUCCACCGCCUGGGGACUACGGCCGCAAGGUUAAAACUCAAAGGAAUUGACGGGGGCCCGCACAAGCAGCGGAGCGUGUGGUUUAAUUCGAUGCUACACGAAGAACCUUACCAGGGCUUGACAUGGAAGUGGUAGUGAAGCGAAAGCGGAACGACCCUUCGGGGAGCUUACACAGGUGCUGCAUGGCUGUCGUCAGCUCGUGUCGUGAGAUGUUCGGUUAAGUCCGCUAACGAGCGCAACCCUCGCCGCGUGUUAUACGUGUCACGCGGGACUGCCAGUCUUAAGCUGGAGGAAGGUGGGGAUGACGUCAAGUCAGCAUGGCCUUUAUGUCCUGGGCUACACACACGCUACAAUGGCCGGUACAGUAGGUAGCGAAGCCGCGAGGUGGAGCCAAUCCACAAAGCCGGUCUCAGUUCGGAUCGGAGUCUGCAACUCGACUCCGUGAAGCUGGAUUCGCUAGUAAUCGCGCAUCAGCCAUGGCGCGGUGAAUACGUUCCCGGGCCUUGUACACACCGCCCGUCAAGCCAUGGAAGUUGGGGGUACCUGAAGUCCGUAACCGUAAGGAGCGGCCUAGGGUAAAACCAGUGACUGGGGCUAAGUCGUAACAAGGUAGCCG